Molecule: ribosomal RNA, 119 nt
Filed under: Setaria italica (foxtail millet)
Lineage: Eukaryota; Viridiplantae; Streptophyta; Magnoliopsida; Poales; Poaceae
Also listed under: 1 other name
Source: RNAcentral
AGAUGCAAUCAUACCGGCACUAAAAGCAUCGGAUCCCAUGAGAACUCCGAAGUUAAGCAUGCUAGGGUGAGAGUAGUACUAGGAUGGGUGACCUUCAUUACCAUCUUAAUUUUUUUCUA